This 378-nucleotide ribosomal RNA is filed under the name uncultured eukaryote. RNAcentral's name for it is "partial 18S ribosomal RNA". It matches the Rfam family "Eukaryotic small subunit ribosomal RNA", at positions 592 to 976 of the family's 1831-position model. The record is from RNAcentral.
CAAUAGCGUAUAUUAAAGUUGUUGCAGUUAAAAAGCUCGUAGUUGGAUUUCGGGACGGGCCAGUUGGUCCGCCGCAAGGUGUGUUACUGACUGGUCUGUUCUUCUUCGCAAAGACUGCGUGUGCUCUUCGUUGAGUGUGCGUAGGAUUUACGACGUUUACUUUGAAAAAAUUAGAGUGUUCAAAGCAGGCUAUCGCUUGAAUACAUGAGCAUGGAAUAAUGGAAUAGGACUUUGGUCCUAUUUUGUUGGUUUCUAGGACCGAAGUAAUGAUUAAGAGGGACAAUUGGGGGCAUCCGUAUUUCGUUGUCAGAGGUGAAAUUCUUGGAUUUACGAAAGACGAACAACUGCGAACGCACUUGCCAAGAGUGUUUUCAUUAA